This 268-nucleotide ribosomal RNA is filed under the name uncultured bacterium. RNAcentral's name for it is "partial 16S ribosomal RNA". It matches the Rfam family "Bacterial small subunit ribosomal RNA", at positions 28 to 295 of the family's 1533-position model. The record is from RNAcentral.
GACGAACGCUGGCGGCGUGCUUAACACAUGCAAGUCGAGCGGUAAGGCCCUUUCGGGGGUACGACGAGCGGCGAACGGGUGAGUAACACGUGGGUGACCUGCCCUCAGCUCUGGGAUAAGCCCGGGAAACGUAGGGUCUAAUACCGGAUAUGACUUCAUGACGCAUGUUGUGGAGUGGAAAGCCUUGUGCGACUGAGGAUGGGCCCGCGGCCUAUCAGCUUGUUGGUGGGGUGAGGCCUACCAAGGCGACGACGGGUAGCCGGCCUGA